GUUGCCGCCGAGGCCCCAGUCACAGCCGAGCGCAAGCAGAAUCUUCACCUCCAAGAGCAGCUCGCCAAGCCAUAUGUGGCACGGGCGCUGGCGGCGGUGGAUCCGGCGCAUCCUAAUGGGACGGAGGGACACGAGCACCAUAACAUGAGUGUGCUGCAGCAGCAUGCGGCAUUCUUCGACAGGAACAAUGACGGGGUGGUUUAUCCGUGGGAGACUUAUCAAGGGUUUCGAGCCGUGGGAUUCGGUGUUCUCACUUCGAUCUUGGGGGGUUUCUUAAUUAAUCUUGGGCUCAGUUAUCGAUCACAGCCGAGUUGGAUACCUUCUCCUGUCCUCUCAAUUCACAUCAAGAAUAUACAUAGAUGCAAGCAUGGAAGCGACACUGAAAGCUACGACACAGAAGGAAGGUUUGAGCCAUCAAAAUUUGAUGCAAUCUUCAGCAAAUACGCUUUAACGCAGCCUGAUGCAUUGACAUCGGAGGAGAUCUCCACAAUGCUACAAGUCAAUCG
RNAcentral lists this unclassified non-coding RNA (506 nucleotides) under Hevea brasiliensis (rubber tree). The record is from RNAcentral. Lineage: Eukaryota; Viridiplantae; Streptophyta; Magnoliopsida; Malpighiales; Euphorbiaceae.